Molecule: ribosomal RNA, 402 nt
Filed under: uncultured bacterium
Lineage: Bacteria
Description: bacterial SSU rRNA
Rfam family: Bacterial small subunit ribosomal RNA
Source: RNAcentral
UGGGGAAUCUUGCACAAUGGGGGCAACCCUGAUGCAGCGACGCCGCGUGAGCGAUGAAGCCCUUCGGGGCGUAAAGCUCUUUCGACCGGAACGAUAAGGACGGUACCUCAGGAAUAAGUCUCGGCUAACUACGUGCCAGCAGCCGCGGUAAAACGUAGGAGGCGAGCGUUAUCCGGAUUUACUGGGCGUAAAGCGCACGCAGGCGGCUCUGUUAGUCGGACGUGAAAGCUCUCGGCUUAACCGGGAGAGGCCGUUCGAUACUGCGGGGCUUGAGGUAGGGAGAGGAAUGCGGAAUUCCCGGUGUAGUGGUGGAAUGCGUAGAUAUCGGGAGGAGCACCUGUGGCGAAAGCGGCAUUCUGGCCCUCACCUGACGCUGAGGUGCGAAAGCGUGGGUAGCAAACA